GAUGAAGAACGCAGCGAAAUGCGAUAAGUAGUGUGAAUUGCAGAAUUCAGUGAAUCAUCGAAUCUUUGAACGCACAUUGCGCCCUUUGGUAUUCCAAAGGGCAUGCCUGUUCGAGCGUCAUUUGUACCCUCAAGCUUUGCUUGGUGUUGGGCGUCUUUUUGUCUCCCCUUGCGGGAGACUCGCCUUAAAGUCAUUGGCAGCCGGCCUACUGGUUUCGGAGCGCAGCACAAGUCGCGCUCUCUUCCAGCCCCAAGGUCUAGCAUCCAACAAGCCUUUUUUUCAACUUUUGACCUCGGAUCAGGUAGGGAUACCCGCUGAACUUAAGAAUAUCAAUAAGCGGAGGA
This 344-nucleotide unclassified non-coding RNA is filed under the name soil metagenome. RNAcentral describes it as "partial contains 5.8S ribosomal RNA, internal transcribed spacer 2, and large subunit ribosomal RNA". The stretch from base 1 to 120 matches the Rfam family "5.8S ribosomal RNA", at positions 35 to 154 of the family's 154-position model. The record is from RNAcentral.